ACGCUCGACACCUACGGGGGCAGCAGUGGGGAAUAUUGCACAAUGGGGGAAACCCUGAUGCAGCGACGCCGCGUGAAGGAAGAAGUAUCUCGGUAUGUAAACUUCUAUCAGCAGGGAAGAAAGUGACGGUACCUGACUAAGAAGCCCCGGCUAACUACGUGCCAGCAGCCGCGGUAAUCUGAGGCGGGCUGGCGAAGGC
RNAcentral lists this ribosomal RNA (199 nucleotides) under uncultured bacterium. RNAcentral describes it as "partial 16S ribosomal RNA". It matches the Rfam family "Bacterial small subunit ribosomal RNA", at positions 328 to 540 of the family's 1533-position model. The record is from RNAcentral.